GGAAGCCAGCCACGCUUCUAACUCCUGGUUUGUGCGACUCUCUCUCUCUCUGGUUCGCCAACCAAGCUGCCCAGCACAGUGCUGGCUAAGCACCAAAGCAGCCCCACUGGAGGAAGUCCAGCCCCACCGGAGGAAGUCCAGCCCCACGGGAGGAAGUCCAGCCCCACUGGAGGAAGUCCAGCCCCAUGGGAGGAAGUCCAGCCCCACCGGAGGAAGUCCAGCCCCACCGGAGGAAGUCCAGCCCCACUGGAGGAAGUCCAGCCCCACCGGAGGAAGUCCAGCCCCACUGGCAGGAAGUCCAGGAUGGCUGGUGGUAAGGAAAGCUGUAGAAAACAGACUGUGUCAAGAUACCCAACCAAGAGAGAAUGCUCCUCUACAGAAAACCACUCAAGCUAACAAAUGAAGAAGCAACAAAAGAAAUCACCAUUUGGAAAAUCCCACUGAGACAAAGAUCCGAGCAGCAGUAAUUAAUGGUUGCCAACCACUAUGUAAAAGUCAGUGGAAGACGCUAUAAUGGGCCCAUUGGAGCGGAUCUCCCGUGGGACAGCGUUGGUAUCAAUAAAAGUGAGCAACUGGGUCAUGG
Mesocricetus auratus (golden hamster) is the source of this 583-nucleotide long non-coding RNA. RefSeq lists it as uncharacterized. The record is from RefSeq and is a predicted model, not a curated record. The transcript is spliced from 3 exons. NCBI's taxonomy places the organism in Eukaryota, Metazoa, Chordata, Mammalia, Rodentia, Cricetidae.